This 83-nucleotide transfer RNA is filed under the name compost metagenome. RNAcentral describes it as "tRNA-Thr". It matches the Rfam family "tRNA". From Rfam's summary of the family: Transfer RNA (tRNA) molecules are approximately 80 nucleotides in length. Their secondary structure includes four short double-helical elements and three loops (D, anti-codon, and T loops). The record is from RNAcentral.
GCUGGUGUGGCUCAGCGGCGACAGCACGAGUUUUGUAAACUCGCAUACAAACACCGGGGGUUCGAGUCCCUCCACCAGCACCA